Molecule: long non-coding RNA, 20418 nt
Filed under: Citrus sinensis (sweet orange)
Lineage: Eukaryota; Viridiplantae; Streptophyta; Magnoliopsida; Sapindales; Rutaceae
Description: long non-coding RNA (CSIN_LNC001658)
Source: RNAcentral
UGUACUCAUCCAUGUAUUUGUUUCAACUGUAUUUUAUUUCAUAGAAACAAAUCUUAAUAGAAAUACUGCAUAAAUCUUUUGAUCCUACAAUAUUCAGAGCCUAUGUAUGCAUCACAAAAUUUGUUCACUUCCUAAUAUUUAUUUAUUUGACUGUAAGAAGAAAAUGGGAAGAAGGUAAUUUUGUGCAAUUCCGUAUAUGACUAUUAUUGUUCUAAUACACUCUCACAAAACUGCAAUAACAAAAUUUACAAAGAUAUACAGAAAACGAUGAAUAACAACACAGUUUACCUACCAGAAUACCUUGCGUCUUACGGUUACAACAUGAGCCAGAGAUCUAGAAGACAAUGCUCGCAGUUGGGUUCCGCAUUUCAUCAUUGAACGAAAUUCAUCAUAGCUGAUUCUACCAUCCUGUAUACACAAAUUAAAGGCGUGGGAAUUGACUUACAAUAAUGAAGACAAAUUACUAAUGCCCUUGAAACUGAAAAUCAACUUACUUUGUCUCUGUCAACUUCAGACAUUAUUUCUUUAAUUGUAGCAAUUGUGGCAUCAUCACCCAUGCCAUAAUCUUUGAAAGCUUUUCCGAGUUCAUCUACCGUGAUAUAUCUACAUAGCCAUUUAGAAUAAGUAAUUCGUCUUCCUCAGAGGCUGAAAUAGCGAUUCGAGUGCAAUUAAACCCCCAAGUUGCAAUGGCUAAGUGGCGAAGCUCUCUCUAGGCUUAACAUUUUAACAAAAUUGGGCAAAUCAAGAAAGGUUAAUUAUUGUGACGAGAAGAAAGACUUUCUAAUUUAUUAAGUGCCCGUUUGCUGCUGUGAUGAUGGUGAUUUUUGCCAAUGUCUUCUCUCUCGCCUCUCUGCAUUUUCCUUUUUUGAAUCAAAGGAGAUUCAUAGAAUAAAGCGUGUACUCAUCCAUGUAUUUGUUUCAACUGUAUUUUAUUUCAUAGAAACAAAUCUUAAUAGAAAUACUGCAUAAAUCUUUUGAUCCUACAAUAUUCAGAGCCUAUGUAUGCAUCACAAAAUUUGUUCACUUCCUAAUAUUUAUUUAUUUGACUGUAAGAAGAAAAUGGGAAGAAGGUAAUUUUGUGCAAUUCCGUAUAUGACUAUUAUUGUUCUAAUACACUCUCACAAAACUGCAAUAACAAAAUUUACAAAGAUAUACAGAAAACGAUGAAUAACAACACAGUUUACCUACCAGAAUACCUUGCGUCUUACGGUUACAACAUGAGCCAGAGAUCUAGAAGACAAUGCUCGCAGUUGGGUUCCGCAUUUCAUCAUUGAACGAAAUUCAUCAUAGCUGAUUCUACCAUCCUGUAAACACAAAUUAAAGGCGUGGGAAUUGGCUUGCAAUAAUGCAGACAAAUGACUAAUGCCCUCCAAAAAUAUAAAUCAACUUACUUUGUCUCUGUCAUCUUCAGACAUUAUUUCUUUAAUUGUGGCAAUUGUGGCAUCAUCACCCAUGCCAUCAUCUUUAAAAGCUUUUCCGAGUUCAUCUACCUGAUAUAUCUACAUAGCCAUUUAGAAUAAGAACUUCAUUAAUUAGUCUAGAUAUAACCCAUUCAAUUUAAGCAAGUUAAUGAAGGGCGUAUGUUUUUAAUAUCCCUCAUUCAAAUCAGGGAAAAGGACAUUCAAUCCCCCAACAUUUAAAAAAAGAGACAAAAAACCCCUCACCGUUUCAAAAAGAACUUAUAAUCCCCUUUCCAUUAACAAACACCGUUUGUUUUAAGAGUAAAUUUAUUUUUAAUUUUUAAUUACUAUUAUACAUUAUACCCUUAUAAUAAAUAAAUUAAUAUAUUAAUUUGAGAUAUAUCACAAUUAACAACUGUCAUCUAGCUAGCGUGGGUUGGAAUCGUUCUUUUAAGUUUUGACCAAAUCAAUAAAGUAUGGUUUUAAAAAAAAAAAACUCUCGAUUCCUUAAUCAAAUGUACAAUAAAUAUUAACUAAUUCACUAGCACUCAUCUCAAACCAAAAUAAACUAAUAAAAAAAUCAUUAAUUUUCAGCACCAAAACGAAGUAUCAGGACAAAUAAAAAACAACCCAGCCACCUACAUAUCCAAAACCCCAAAAAUCCAAAACUUAUAUACCAACAAGCCCAAAAAAAAGCCGUAUAAUUCUGGUUCAAUGUUUGAACAUAGAUUCUUUUCAUGAUAAUGAAAUCAUUUAUAUUUAUUUUUAUAAUAAAAAAUUACAAAAAAAUAAAAAAGAAAAUUAGCAACUGCAGUACGAUGAACAUGGAUAUUAACCAAAACUUCUUCCAAAGAACACGUGGAACUUUAUCUCUCACUAUAAGUGUCGCCGUCAAGUCAAUCUAGUGUAAUGGUUUUGAUUCCUCAAAGAAAAAAGGGUUUAAUCAAAUUUCGUUUUAUUAGUAAUAAUCACAUAUGAAAGGUUUGAUCAUUAGAAAGGUAUAAUUUAUAGCAAAUAAUUUGGGAAAAAAUGUAAUUGUAUCUCAAUUUUUAGUUUUAAAAAAAUUAUUAAUUGUGACAUUUCUCAAAUCAAUAUAUUAAUUUAUAUUUAUUAUAAGGGUAUAAUAGUAAUUAAAAAAAUAAAUUUACUAUUAAAACAAACGGUGUUUGUUAACGGAAAGGGGGUUAUAAGUCUUUUUUGAAACGUUGAGGAGUUUUUUUGUCCCUUUUCCUAAACGUUGGGGGGUUGAAUGUCAUUUUCCCUUCAAAUCAUGAUAAACCUGAGGAUCCAAAUACUAGUCAACAUGCUUCUACAGUAAUAAAAAUAAAAUGAGAAGCUUACCCGUUACUAGCCUUGUCAUUUUUCAGUGGUAGCUAUACCAUUUGUAUUAUUAAAUAGACCAAUAAAUUUUAACUUGCAGUAAUCAAAGCAGCAUAGAUAGAAUGAAUGAGAAAAAUUAAUAACAUGAGGAUCCAAUGCUUUAUACCUAGAACUUGAGCAGCAGUAAUCCGCCUUUUUGGAUCCAGUGUUAGCAUCCUGCGAACCAACUCUAUGGCACUGCUUGAUAUACUUGGAAAUGGAUCACGUUGGAAGUCAAUUUCUCCUUUUAAUAUAGCCAGAGCAACUCCCUGCUCCGUUUCUGCAGAGCACACAAAAAAUUCAGAGUGGUCAUAGUCACACUCUGUACUCUUAGUUGACGGUAAGAAAUACAAAAACGUUGUUGAAGUGAAAAGAGAUCGUGUAGGGUGCAAAAAGAAUAUUGAUUUUCACCUGCCCAAAAGGGAGGCACACCACACAAUAAAAUAUACAAUAUCACUCCUGCGCUCCAAAUGUCUGCUUCCUUCCCAUAACUUCGCUUUAAUACUUCGGGAGCCAUAUAGUAAGGACUCCCAACUAUUUCGUCGUAAGCCUUUCCUGGAAAAUGAAUCAUACGGUAAUAAAAAAAGGAUACAUUAAUAGCUCGAUUAAUCAAAUAUGCCUUCCUGGUGAUCCUAAGAGUUUUGUAUUAUUUUCUUAUGAUUUCACCUAAAUCAAUACAUUAAGUGAGUUACAGCUUACUCAAAUGAUAUGUAUCGGAAAAUUCUACAGGCAUGAAAGACUACUACAUGCAGUAAAAUCUAAACAUGGAAAAUGUGCAAGGAAGGUAGAGAAAUUUACUUUCUUCAAUGAACACUGAUAACCCAAAAUCAGCGGCCUUCAAAACAGCAUUCUCAUCCCCGGUAGUGAACAAGAAAUUCUCAGGUUUGAGAUCCCUGUGCAUAACACCCUUAGAGUGGCAAACAUUCACAACAUUCAUAAUUACCCUGAAUACAGAAGCCGCAGAUCUCUCGCUAUAAUGGCCCCUGGCUACAAUUCGAUCAAAUAGCUCACCACCAACACAUAAUUCCAUAACAAUAUGCACAAAUUGGUCAUCCUCAUAAGCAGCCUUGAAUUGGACUAUGUUGGGCUGCCCACUCAAAUAUUGCAUUACCUCAACCUCUCUUCUUACAUCAUCCUUAUAAUAAUCAUUUACCAGCUUUCUUUUAGGAAUAGACUUGCAAGCAAAUUCCAAACCGGUUGAAUUCUCAGUACAAAGAUAAGUUAUACCAAAUUCACCCCUACCCAAUUCUCUACCAAGAGUAUAAUGUAACUUAACAUCCUCAUAAGCUUUACAAAGAAUUGCAUCAUGGAGUUGGCGUGCUGCUGGGUAGUCUCCAUCUUGGCCUUUGUCAUGGAGUUGGCGUGCUGCUGGGUGGUCUGAGUCUUGGCCUUUGCUGAAAAUGCAACCCAUUUCUGGCCGCCACCAGCACAGAGGAUGCAAGACAGGACGGUGGGCAAUUUCAAAGAAUAUGCAGGACCCAGAUGUAUUCAACUACACAUCACAGUUCCUGCCUUUGAAUUGAUUCUUUAAAAUUUACAAUGAGAUUUGUUAGAAGAAGACCGCUGCGAAGGCAAUUCGACCGUCCUCUAUUAAAAACACUUUCUUUUUUAAUAUCCCAUUCAGACUUCGGAAGGAUGGAUUGUUUACAAUAAUUUGCUCGUAAAUUGCUGCACGCCCCCUGAUAUUUGGCUCAAUACCCCAUUGCCUCUCUACGUUUUGAAAAUACCUGCUUACCCCUGGCAUGUAAACUUUUGUACAGUUUGAUAAUUUUGCCUUUCUUUUGAGUUCUGGGUUCCAGAUCUGGUCUUGGGAUCAUUCGUUAUUAACAAGUUUGGAUAUCUUGGGUUUAAAAUAAUAACUGAAAUCGAAACCACGACAUGAAGUACCGAAUUAACUUGGAGAAAAAACUUAUCUCUGCAUGCUGCGCUAUUACCUCAUCAGGCUCUGCCAUUGGUUUUAUGGAAGCAUGCCAUAAUUUUAUUUAUUUGUUGAGUUUUAUUCAUAUAAUCACUAUAGAUUUCGAGACCAACAUGUUCUAUCAUUUGACAGAGUAAGCACAUAAAUACAAGUCUUUCUUACUAACUUAAUGGGAGGUAUCUGUUCUUUUCCUAAUCUUGGUUAAUUACAUCCCACUUACUCGAAUAAUUUACUAUAAACUCCUUUAAAAAUUUUAAAUUCAAACAAAUUAGAGUUUUUCGUAAUUAAUCAUUUAAGAACUCUCUAAUUCCUUUAGUAAUUUGCAUAAUUUUCAUUAUUUAAUUUCUCCUAUUGUCAGUUAGGUCCCUUGAAUUUUUUGACCGCUAGAGUUGAGUUCAAAUGAGAUCAAUUUGAUUAUUCUACCAUCAUAUGUAAAGGACAAAAUUCUCCUCAAAAUUAUUAUAACUUCCAAAACUUCUUUUUGUCUUUGUCUUUAUUGUAGUAGGAUUGUUAGAUUCAAUAUAAUCUAUUAUUAUUAUUAUUCUUUGCAAAGUUUUAUUCUAGGUUCAUUAAUUAAUUUUUGCGCUUCAUUUUCUUUGUAUUUCUGGCACUUCUCCAACACUUCAUCAAAUCUCAUGCUAGCUAGUUAGAAGUUAAAACUGUUCCAAGAACACUGGAAGCCUAUCAAGUAAAAUUAAAAUUAAGGUAAGUUACUAAUUUACCUAUUUCAUUAUUAAUAUUUAGAAAAUCGCAUUAUGCAAGAUUACAAGUUAUAAUUACAUCAUUAAAAUAUUAAGGCAGAGUAGCACAUGUUUUACGAGAAUUUUAUUCAUUUUAUAUCAUAAAGGUAAAAUAGAUAAAUUAACUUUAUAGAGUCAUAGAUGGCCAAUGACUAUUAAGUAGGAAAAAAAAAAGCACGUAUAACUUAAAUUAAUUAAUUUAUGAAUGAUCAAUUUAUAGAAUUUUUAAAGUGGGGGGUGUCUAGUGUUUAGGCAACAUGUGGGGGUUCCGCACUCUCCUUUUAUAUAUUUCAAUUCUAAUUUUUAUUAUCAUAAAAAAACAAAUACAGAUACCUUUGUAUAAAGCACGGCUUUAGGUACCACUGCCAGAAUAUCUUCCGUCUUAUGGCAACAACGUGAGCUAAAGGUCUCGAAGAUACUGCUUGCAGAUGGGUUCCGCUUUUCAUCAUCGCUCGAAAUUCAUCGUAGCUGAUCCUACCAUCCUAUAAUUAAACACAUAACACAUGACACAUGAGGCCGAGGCUUAGCUGAUCCUACCAUCCUACCAUCCUAUCAAAAAACAAGAACCAGAUUAACUACUUUAUCUCUAUCAACUUCAGACAUUAUUUCUUUUUUCAUUGCAAUCGUGACAUCAUCUCCCAUGUUAUAUCCUUUAAAAGCUGUUUCCAAUUCAUCGACUGUGAUAUAUCUGCACAGGCGUUCAUAAUGUAGAAGAACAAACUAAGUAAUUGCUUCAUCAAUGCAGUUCUGUCUGUAACCGAGGAUCAAAGUUUGCUAAAGAUGCUUCUACAUUCAUAGAAGUAUAUAAAAAAAUACUCACCCAGUAUUAUCCUUGUCAAAGUGUUGGAAAGCUUUAUAAAGACGUUCAAAUCUUUCUAGCUUGUGUCUUUGCAUCGUAGCAGUUAUAAAUUCAAUGUAAACGAUAGUCUUGUUUCCAUCUAUAUCAGCCUUUAGAAAUGCAUGGUCAGCAAUAUCAGCUGAGCAUAUAAUGCAAAUAGACAGACAAUAGGAUGAAUUCAGAGCUCAUGAAUUCCUUACGGCUUGCAUGCACUGCUGACUUCGGUUUUUGUAAGCAUCUAUUCAGGUUUAGCUAAUCCUGCUUUCAAUUCAUCAUAAGUAAGCCAUUGUUGUCAGUGUCCUUCUCCGUUAAUUUUUCCUUGAGUUUUCAUAUUUCUUCGGUUGGAAGACUUCGCACAAUGACCUAUAUAUAUAUAUUAAUUUGAAAUGAACCCGGCACAGGUUGUCAGUAGGCAAAAGCACAAUAAAACAGAUGAAUCAUCGGACUUGCUCAUAUAUAUAUACACACACACUUUAUAUUUAUAGACACCCUACAAUUAAGCAUUUUUUAUCAGGAAGUGUAGACGCAGAAAUUCAAUCAAAUAUAUACCACAUGAUUCUAACUGCCAUAUAAAUUCUAUUAUAAUGUUUACAAUACAAUGUUCUCAUGAACAUAUCUAGAUUUCCAUAUUUGAUUUAGAUCCUCUACUAAUCUGACAUUACCUAUACGUUGUCAUGUUAACGAAUAACGUGACAUGUCUAUAUCAAUUAUUACUUAAGGCGUGGUCAAGAUCUGUUCUUUUAUCAUCUCACUUAUUUGUCACACCUCGUAUUAGCAGAUGAAAAUAAGCUCAUUGUAGAAGAAUCCUGAACUUUAGACUUACCUUUAGUGCUAGUUUUUUUAGUUUGUUCAUUGCUCGAAAUUGCUUUACCCUGAAAAUGACAGCACCGUCGAUUGGCUUGUCUGAUGCUUCUCCACUUUCUUUAAGCCAAGGGUGCUCUGCACAUACAUCUUUCAUACAGUUUUCAAUGUUCUAUACUACUGGUACUAUUAAAUGGACUAUAUACAUAUAUAUAUACAUCAAAACAUCAUAGGUAAGAAAUACUGAUAACUUCAGGAUCUACUGCUUUCAACCUAGAACUUGAGCAGCAGUAAUCCAUUUUUUUUUUUUUUGUUUCCUUGUCAGCAUCUUGUGAACCAACUACUUGGCACCACUUGAAAAAGUUGGCCGAGGAUUAAUUUUUAAGUCAAGUUUUCCUUGCAAAAUAGCAUCAUAAAUUCCCUUCUCAGUUUCUGCAAGGAUACUUCAUCAAAAGUGAGUGAUUAUAUUAAAUUUCCAAUACUUUUAAGUCAAAAGAAAUAAGCAUAUACAGGGGAAAAGAGAUCAUGUAGUGUGCAAACUGCAAAAUGCAUAUUUUUACCUGCCCAAAAUGGAGGUACACCAGAUAGUAAAACAUACAAUAUAACUCCUGCACUCCCAAGUCUAUUCCUCUAACCUUUCCUAGAAAGUUUACCAAGGCAUAAUCAGAUUAAGAAUGUCAAUGCCUAAAUUAAAAAUGCCUUUUUCUACACAAGCCACAAAAUGCUGCCAAACAUACCACAAACAUAAACAAUCCAUGUUUAUGCACGAACAUGAAAUACAAACUUUCUGUACAAUUAAGAUUAGAACAAUUUAAAAUUUUAUAAAAAGAUCGAAAAUUGAUAUUUCAUGAUCAAGGGCCACCCUUAGCCGUCUAAACGUAGUGUAGAGCUUUGGUUGGUCUAAUUAUCUUAUCAAACCAAAGACUCUGCCCAAGAUCUUGAAUAAGAUCAACACAAGUUGCACAGGCAGAGAAUCAAAUCUGAAUCAACUCAACCAUCAAUUAACCAGACUUAAACACUCAAGAAAUAGAAUCAAGACGAAAGAUAAAGAUGAAUCAGAAACAAAAACACAGAGAAAGCAAGAGAUAACGUGGUUCAGUCUUUUUCAAGACCUACAGAGAUAACGUGGUUCAGUCUUUUUCAAGACCUACAGAGAUAACGUGGUUCAGUCUUUUUCAAGACCUACAGAGAUAACGUGGUUCAGUCUUUUUCAAGACCUACAGAGAUAACGUGGUUCAGUCUUUUUCAAGACCUACAGAGAUAACGUGGUUCAGUCUUUUUCAAGACCUACAGAGAUAACGUGGUUCAGUCUUUUUCAAGACCUACACCAACGAGUGAAAACAUCAGAGCUUGUUUUGAUUGAUUCAUGAAGAAAAAUUAUAAGCAUUCAGAGAUGUGUUUACAGAGCACAAGAAUCAACUUUCUCUCUACUGGAAAACUCUCUAGAAUACUCUCGAAUCUCGCGUGAAAUGAGCUGGUGAACCAGCUUUAUAUUACGGAUGAAAAACAAACUUUGAACCCAGAAUGCACAGCUGCUUCCCACGUGUCCAGGCCAGACGAGCUUCAAGCGAGCACGUGACUUGGCACGAGCAACUUCGUUAAUACCGUUAUCAGUAAAACGCAAGUCUAAGCGUCGUUUCACUUAUAGAGGUCACGAGCUUCCUCACGUGGCUUCAUAACGAAACAGUUUCGUUGCUCCAUACGCUGUCGUUUUUGCUCUGGAUUGCUCUACACGUAGAUUUUGAAACUGUUUCUUUGGUGCAUUUAAAUUAUCAAGGAAUUAAUAAAGUGUUAGCUCCACUGGCAAUGAAGUCCCUUUCAGUGGUUUGAUUGGGUUUGCUCCCCAGUUUGAGUCGCAGGGAAGUCAUCUUUGUUGGGAGAACUUGUGCCUCCCGGUUCGAGCGGGGACUUCUAGUCUGAGUUGUGGUACGGGCUUAAAGGUGUCUCCCACAGUUGAGGUGCUCCCCAAGAUACCUCGUGGUUAAGACCAAAAAAAAAAAAAAAUUAUCAAGGGAAAUGAUUAAUUGCAUAGUGAAGUACAAGAAAAUUUACGCUUUUCAAAGAAUGACGCCAACCCAAAAUCAAUGACCUUCAAGCGAGCAUUCUCAUCCUUGCUAGUGAACAAGAAAUUCUCAGGUUUGAGAUGCAUGUGCAUAACACCCUUAGGUCGGCAGACGUUCACUUUAUUCACAAUAUCCGUAAAUACCAAUGCUGCAGCUCUCUCACUAUUGUGCCCCUUGGCUAUAAUCCGAUCAAAUAGCUCACCACCAGCACAGUACUCCAUAGCAAUAUGCACAAAAUGCCUAUCCUCAUAAACACACUUAAAGUCAACAAUGCUAGGCUGCCCACGCUCAAAUGUUGCAUUAUAUGAAUCUCUCUUUUGAUAUCAUCCUUAUCAUUCUUAGUCACAGUUUCCUCUUAGCAAUUGACUUGCAAGCAAAUUGCCUGCCGGUCGAAUUCUCCAUACAUAAAUAAGUAACACCAAAUUGACCCCUACCUAACUUUUUACCAAGAUUAUAGAAUAACCUAACAUCAUCAUAAGCUUUACCAAGAAUUGCAUCUGAAGUCUUAGAUAGUGGUUUUGGGCUUAACAAUUGAGCUUCAGGCGCUACAGGCUCUUGGUUUCUAUGAUCACGAAGAACGCCUGUAUUUGCUUGUGAUGUGCUGCCAUAACAUAAUCUUGUGGUUUUGAGUGUUGAAUUUUGGUUAAAACACUACCUAUUUCUUUUUACCACCUAGAAAUCGAUAGACUGCUGAACUGUUUAUGAUGUUCAUGGAAAACGAGACCUUGAGUAUUUUAUUAUAGGAUGAGAUGCAUAGUGAAAAAGCACAGAUAACAAAACAGAAACUGCAGGAUGUGUAAUUCAGAUGAAGAUACAACAUGAAUUACAAAUGAAUACAAAAGGGCAAGUGGAUUUUUUCGGUUUCAGAGUUGAGGUUUGUGGGGAAGGUCCGCUACUCUUGGAAUAAUGGACUGUAAACAACAUGAAAUACUUUUUGGUCAGACUCACAAUUAGUCAAUUAUUUAUGUCGCUUUUAUCAUUUGAUUCCUUGUUGUUUCUCAAUAUAAAUUCAUGAGCCAAAAUUUUCAGAUAUAAUUCACUUAGGCCAUGUUUGGCAUGCCUCAUUAUAUUAUAUUAGAGCUGUGCAUUGUAUUAAAAUAUUACUAUACAAUGUUUGGCACUUAUCCGGUAUUGUAUUAAAAAAAAGAAAAAAGAAUGUGGGAAAACCCACAUAUUUGAAAUCUGGUUGAGACUCGAGUUCAUACCACAUUGUAUUAAUGUUGUAUUUACUAAUCCGGAAUGAGAAUCAGAAUGGAAGAAUUAGAAAGAAUAACAUGUUUACUUGUUAAAUUAAGGUUGGGAAUGAAAAUGAAUUUCGUGGGCCCCACAUAAAUUUUGGAUUGAUCGCUAGAGUUGUGAUUCUCGGAGGGGGUUGGCAAUGAGAACCUCAUUUCUUGGAAUGACAAAAUUAUCUCCACUACACUAUUAAUAUACCCAGGAUACCCUCUUUGGAAAUUAAAAAAUAUAAAUUGAAAGAAGACAAAACUGAAAAAUUUAUUAUGAUAACGGAAUUCAUUUUAUUAUUAGUAUUAUUGUUGUUGUUGUUGUUAUUAGUGUUAUUAAUUUAUUAACAAUUACUAUUAUUUAUUUUAUUUUAUUAGUUUUAUUAUCAUCAUCAUCAUCAAAUGACAAUAGUUAACAAAGGGUAUUUUAAUAAAUUAUUAAUGAUAUUAUUUUUAUUUUAUUAUUAUUAACAAUCAUUUUUAUGAUAAUAAAAAUCAGAAAUAAUAAUGAUGAUGAUGAUAAUAGUAGUGGUUAUAAUUAACUUAGAACAUUUCAGUAACUUGAAAAAAUUAAAGUUAUUCUAAUUCUGAUUCUAAGAUAAAAUAAACACAUCAAUGGAAUUCUAACUCAUUAUGAUUUCGAUUUAUACAGCUCAAGUAAACAACUUAUUCUAAUUCUUAUUCUUCAUUCUCAUUCCAACAUAUUCUCAUUACAGAAAAUUCUGAUUACUGAUAAGUAAACGCAGCAUAAAUCCUUUUACCCUCUUCUUCUUCUUCGUCUUCUUUGUUUUUCUCACUUUUUUUCUUUAUUUUUGAUCAUGCCCUCUUCUUUUUUGUCUCCUCUGUUUCUCUCUCUUUUUUCUUUUAUUUUUCUCCUUUUCUUCUUCGUCUUCUCUGAUUCUCUCUCUCUCUCUCUCUUCUUCUUCUUAUUGGUAAUUAAAUUUGAGUUUACAAUUUAGUUCAAAAAAAUAAUUGUUUUCAUCUUUCAUCAAUAAGACUUGUAUAUAAAAAUUAAUUAUCUAUAAGAAUUAUAAAUCAAUUAAUGGAGGGUAAAAUCAUUAAUUUAAUUUAUAAUAUUUAAAUAUGUUAAUUUUAUUAGAGUUAGAGUGUCACUUGUGUGUUUAUUUUUAAAACAUUUAUUGCUUUUUUAAUAAAUGUCGAAAUAAGUGUCAUUUAGGUGAUAUUAACCUUAUUUUUUAGCACUUCUAUUAAUUUUUUUUUAAUUUUAGACUUUUUAUAUUUGAUAUUUUUCUAAAUAUUUUGAAAUUAUUUUCUAAAUAUAUAAUGUAAAUUAAUUACCAAAGAAACUUAGCUUCACGCAACGUAUGUAAAUAUAAGAUUUCAAAUACAAACAUGUACGUGGUGCCUAUAACGGAAACGAUAAGUAUUAAGUAAUAUAUACAGUGAAGAAAUUUACCCUCUUCAAUGAACACUGAUAACCCAAAAUCAGUGGCCAUCAAAACAUCAUUCUCAUCCCUGGUAGUGAACAAGAAAUUCUCAGGUUUGAGAUCCCUAUGCAUAACACCCUUAGAGUGGCAAACAUUCACAACAUUCAUAAUUACCCUGAAUACAGAAGCCGCAUCUCUCUCACUAUAAUGGCCCCUGGCUAUAAUUCGGUCAAAUAGCUCACCACCAGCACAUAACUCCAUAACAAUAUGCACAUAAUGCAUGUCCUCAUAAGCACCUUUAAAUUGAACUAUAUUAGGCUGCCUACUCAAAUGUCGCAUUAUCUCAAUCUCUCUUCUUAUGUCAUCCUUUUCAUACGCCGCCACAAUUUUUUUCUUAGAGAUAAACUUGCAAGCAAAUUGCAAACCGGUUGAAUUCUCAGUACAAAGAUAUGUAACAGCAAAUGCUCCCUUACCCAGUUCUUUCCCAAUAGUGUAAUGCAACCUGACAUCUUUGUACGGUUUACCAAGAAUUGCACCGUCUAGUUUACAGAUGUAUUUGGGAGUGUGGUAAGGUAGUUGUGCUAGUAUUAAAGUGUUUGGUAACACUUGUAGUUGGGCUUUGACAGCUUAAGAGAUUUUUUUUCCCAGCUGUAGGUUAAAUUACUAAAUUAGUCUUAUAUAUUAUUCAAUUUCAAUUUUAUCCUCAUUUUUAAUCUUCAUUUCAAAUCAAUUUUUUUUUUAUGAAACAAACCCUAAACGCUCAUUCUCAUCAGUAUGGUUCUGACUCUGGCAGUUCUAAUUGAUGCAAUUCUAACACCGAUAAUUCUCAUCGACGCGAUUUCGACACCGGCCACUCUCAUACGCCUCUGUCAGUGGUGCAUUUUCCUUUACCCCUUGUUCAUUUUUGAAUGCUCCUUUGCUCUAUUACAUGCAAUUUUUCAUUUUCUUCCUUUUUGUUCAUAAUAUUUUGGGGGCUUGUGCAGAAUAAAUUGAUGGGUGAUGGGUCAUGCCUGAUUUAUUUACUUGUACCCACCGUUUUUAUUGUAGUAGUUGCUUUUUGUAGACACACACAUCCCUUGUUUGAUGAAAUUCCCAUGAUAAAAAUCCAUCUCAAAUUUAUUUGAGCAGAGUUCAUGUUUUGAUAUUGUAACAAGUUUCAAUUUUGUUUAUAUUUACAUGUAGAAAUUGUAAUAUAUAGUAUGCACAUAUGAGUGGUAUAGGUUGUGUUAGAUAUGAAGCUCAAAAUCUGAACUUGAGACUGUAUACGACAAGUCAACUUAAACCUUGCAUUGGGUAUGACAUGUCAGCUGCAGGAGUUCAGGGAGCUGUAUGACAUUCUUACUUUGUCGGUAAAAUAAGUAAGUGACUCACGUGAUGAAACACGUGCAUCACUUACUCAAAACGACAGAGGUGAAUACCGCUUUGUACUCAGGAGCUUAAGAAGAUGAAACACGUGGCUACCAGAGGUUCAAAAGGCCGUUAAAGGCUGUUAUCACGCGGACAAAAGACUGGGUUUGUUAUGAACAAACCCAGGUGGCGUUAGCAGUUGACUGAUGAAGGGUCCUUCUAGAUCAUUUCCUUACUAUAUAUAUAGCUCUAUGAUGAGAUCUUGUGUAGCGUGAUUUUGUACUAUUUUCUCAAGAACUUUGUAUCUUUAAUAAGCUCUGAUAAUGGACCUCUUCUUCUCCUUCACAGUGGAUGUAUGCUCACCUUGUGGCCGAACCACUAUAAAUCACUGGUGUCAAGUGUGUGUACUUUUUUUUUCUAUUUUCUUUGAGUUGCUUGAGUGAAUUAUCACUUUAUUCAUUAGCCAAUAAAACUAAGUAGAUUCUGAAAUCUUGAGCAAAUAAAGGUGGAUCUUGGGAGAACUAAAUCGGCGACAAAUUGGUUAAGUUCUAACAAAUUGGUAUCAGAGCCAGUCCACUGAAUUCUUGAUCUCAGAAUGGCUGCACCAAAGCUUGAGGUAGAGAAAUUUUCAUGUGAAAAUGAUUUUCACCUGUGGAGGCUUAAAAUGAAGGCCUUGCUGGUACAUAAAGGUCUAGAUGUAGCACUUGGGGAGGUUUCAUCAUCCAAGAAACCAAGAAAAAUUGCUAAUGAAGAUUUACCAUAUGUACUGGACAGAGCUCAUAGUGCAAUAAUUCUAAGCCUUGGAGAUGGUGUACUCAGAGAGGUUGGUGGUGAAAAGACAGCAGCAAGUCUGCGGAAAAAGCUUGAGGAUCUCUACACCAAGAAAUCAAUGGCCAAACGUCUAGCCACAAAGAAGAAGCUUUAUACCCUUCAGAUGGAAUAUGGGUCUUCAAUCACUGAUCACAUUGAUGCUUUCAACAAGAUCAUACUAGAUCUUGAAGACAUUAAUGUGAAAACUGAUCACAUUGAUGCUUUCAACAAGAUCAUACUAGAUCUUGAAGACAUUAAUGUGAAAAUUGAUGAUGAAGACAAAGCUAUGAUCCUGCUUUGUUCACUACCAAGCUCAUAUGGACAUUUAGUUGACACACUUAUGUGUGGAAGGCAAACUCUUACCAUGGUAGAUGUAAAGGAGAAUCUGAGUUCCAAGGCUGCAAUAAAGAAAGAAUCCAGAGAUGGAUAAGGCUUGACAGUAAGAGGAAUGACUGAAAAAAGAGAAGAGAACACGGGAAAGAAGAAAAGAUCCAAAUCAAAAUCAAGGAAAUGUUUUCAGUGUCAUAAGGAGGGUCAUUUCAAAAGAGAUUGUCCUGAGAAGAAAUACAAGAAUAAAGAUGCAAAAGAGAAGAGUGGAGAUGCUGUUGUUGCAUCAGAAUUCGAGGGAUCUGAUGGCUAUGACUCAGCUGGAGUUCUAAUAGCAACUGAUGGUCAAACUAGAGGUAAUUGAGUUCUAGAUUCUGGUUGUUCCUUUCACAUGUGCCCUAAUAAGAGUCUAUUCAUGAACUAUGAGGCCUAUGAUGGUGGAAUAAUUGUAAUGGGUAAUGAUACUAGCUGUAAGGUAGUUGGCAGGGGUUUAAUUAGGCUGAAAAUGUUUGAUGGCAUGAUUAGGGAACUAAGGGAUGUUAAAUAUGUUCCUAAAUUAAAAAGAAACUUUAUUUCUCUUGGGAUGCUUGAUAAAAUGAGAUGUCUAGUUAAACUUGAAUCAGACAUUUUAAAGGUUAUGAAAGGGUCAAUGGUUGUGAUGAAGGAGAACAUGAGCAAUGGCCUGUAUGUGCUUCAGGGUUCAGCUGUAACAAGUGAAGUUGCUGUGACAAAUCAGAAUAUAGACAAAUCUAUGUUGUGGCAUAUGAGGUUAGGCCAUAUGAGUGAAAGGGGCUUAAAAGAACUGACAACAUGGAGUUCUAGGUGUAGACAAGAUAAAGCCUUUGAGGUUCUGUGAAAAACGUGUCCUAGGAAAGUCUUCAAGGGUAAAAUUUAGUACUAGUAUCCAUAACUCAAAGGGAACUCUAGACUACAUUCAUGUUGAUCUGUGGGGGCCAGCACAGACAAUUUCACUAGGUGGGGUAAAAUAUUUCUUAUCUCUCAUUCAUGAUUUUUCUAGAAUGGUUUGGGUAUAUAUGUUAAAAACCAAGGAUGAUGCAUUUGAUCAGUUUAAAGCUUGGAAGACACUGGUAGAAACUCAAACAAAUAGGGAAGUCAAUAGGCUAAGGACUGAUAACGGGCUAGAAUUUUGUAAUAAGAACUUUGAUGAUUGUUGUAUUGAAAAUGGUAUCAUGAGGCAUAAAACAGUUAGGCAUACCCCUCAACAUAAUGGAUUAGCAGAAAUGAUGAAUAUGACUUUGGUUGACAAAGUGAGAUGCAUGUUAAUACACUCAAAACUGUCAAAGGCUCUAUGGGCAGAAACUUUAUCUACAACCUGUUACAUUGUAAACAGAAGUCCUUCUUCUGGAAUCAACUUUAAAACUCCAAUUGAAUUGUGGUCUGGUAAACCAGCAGACUAUUCCAAUUUAAGGGUGUUUGGCUGCCCUGCAUUUGCACACAUUAAGCAGGGGAAACUAGAACCUAGAGCCUUGAAUGGUGUAUUUUUAGGCUAUCCAGAUGAGGUGAAGGGAUUUGAACUCUGGUGUACUGAUUUGAAACCACCAAGAGCUAUUAUCAGUAGGGAUGUUGUAUUUAAUGAAGCUGAAAUGCUUCAAAAUACAACACAGCCAAAAACUAUGAUCAUUAAGCUUGGAGACAGAAACCAGAAGUUUCACUUUGAGGUGGAGCUCUCAACUUCUAAUGCAAGACAUGAACCAAGAGUUGAACCUGAGUCAGAAUCGGAUAUGCAGAUUCCUGAGUCUAUACCUAACUUAGUAGGUGAUAAGGAAGUAAGGGAUUAUCAGUUCGUGAGAGACAGAGAAAAAAGGGUUAUAAAGCCACCAAAGAGAUAUGCUUAUGCAGACCCUAUUGCAUUUGCAUUGACAGUAGCACAUGAAGUUGAACCUGAUGAACCAAGAACUUAUUCAGAAGCUGUUAAGAGUAAUAAGUCAAAAGGAGUGGAAACAAGCUAUGGAUAAGGAAAUGCAAUCAUUGAUAAAAAACCAGACAUGGGAGCUGAUUGAAAAACCAGCAAAUAAGAGGGUAGUGGGCUGUAAAUGGGUUUAUAAGAUUAAAGAAUGGAUACUAGGUGUUGAAUCUCAAAGGUAUAAAGUUAGGCUUGUUGCCAAAGGCUUUACACAGAAAGAGGGUAUUGACUUCACAGAGGUGUUUUCUCUAAUAGUCAGACACUUAUCCUUAAGAAUCUUAUUAGCACUUGUAGUUGUCAAAGACAUGCACCUUGAGCAGAUGGAUGUCAAGACUGCCUUCCUUCAUGGUGAAUUUGAUGAAAUGAUUGUAAUGGCUCAACCAGAAGGCUAUGUGAAUCCAGAAAAGGCUGAUUAUGCUUGUCAUCUAAAAAAGCCACUAUAUGGGCUUAAACAAUCUCCAAGGCUGUGGUAUUUGAGAUUUGACAAGUUUAUGUCAGAACAUGGUUUCCAAAGAAGUAGUUUUGACUGCUGUGUAUAUUUCAAAUAGGUGGAGGAUGACACCAAGAUUUAUCUGCUGUUAUACGUUGAUGAUAUGUUGAUUGCAUGUUAAAACAUGGAGCAAAUAAAUGUCCUUGAACAACAACUGAGAGAAGUCUUUGAAAUGAAGGAUUUAAGAGCAGCAAAGAAAAUACUUGGGGUAGAAAUAAUCAGAGAUAAAAAGCAGGGUAUCCUAUACUUAACUCAACAGAAAUGCAUCAGGAAAGUACUCGAGAAGUUUGGGAUGGGGAGCUCAAAGCCUGUCCAAACACCACUACCAGCUCAUUUUAGACUCUCAAGUCAGCAGUGCCCAAAAACUGAAGAAGAGAUGACUGAAAUAAACAUGGUUCCUUACUCAAGUGUUGUUGGGUGCCUAAUGUAUGCAAUGGUUCUAACCAGGCCAGAUAUAUCUUAUGCAGUAAGUGUGGUAAGCAAAUAUAUGGCAAACCCUGGACAAGAACAUUGGAAAGUUGUGAUAUGGGUGCUGAGAUACCUAAAGGGCACAUCUGAUUAUGGUCUGGUCUAUGGAAUCAGAAAAUAAGAGGAAGUCAUAGUUGAAGGCUUUGUAGAUGCUGAUUUUGCUGGGGAUCUGGAUAAGAAAAGGUCCUCGACAGGUUACAUAUUUACUCUAAAUGGCUGUACUGUCAAUUGGAAAGCCACAUUGAAGAAUGUUGUAGCAUUAUCAAUAAUUGAAGCAGAGUACACUGCAGCAGCAGAAGCUGUUAAAGAAUCAAUAUGGCUUAGAGGAAUGGUAACUGAACUGGGAUUCAAACAAGAGCAGGUGUUGGUUCAUUGUGACAAUCACAGUGCUAUUUGUUUGAGUAAAAAUCAAGUCCAUCACGAAAGAACUAAACACAUAGAUAUCAAGCUUCAUUUUCUGAGACUAGAGGUAUCAAAAGGAGUGGUGAAGUUAGAGAAAAUUCACACUGAUGAUAACCUUGUAGACUUCCUAACCAAGGCUGUUCCAGGUGCCAAGUUUGAGUUAUGUUUGAACUCAGCUGGGAUCUGCAAGAUAUAGAUUGCAGAUGUAAAGUGAUGGUGAGGAAGGGGAGCAGCAGAUUUGAGUUUAAGGUGGAGAAUGUUAGAUAUGAAGCUCAAAAUCUGAACUUGAGACUGUAUACGACAAGUCAACUUAAACCUUGCAUUGGGUAUGACAUGUCAGCUGCAGGAGUUCAGGGAGCUGUAUGACAUUCUUACUUUGUCGGUAAAAUAAGUAAGUGACUCACGUGAUGAAACACGUGCAUCACUUACUCAAAACGACAGAGGUGAAUACCGCUUUGUACUCAGGAGCUUAAGAAGAUGAAACACGUGGCUACCAGAGAUGCAAAAAGUCGUUAAAGCUUGUUAUCACACGGGCAAAAGACUGGGUUUGUUAUGAACAAACCCAAGUGGCGUUAGCAGUUGACUGAUGAAGGGUCCUUCUAGAUCAUUUCCUUACUAUAUAUAUAGCCCUAUGAUGAGAUCUUGUGUAGCGUGAUUUUGUACUAUCUUCUCAAGAACUUUGUAUCUUUAAUAAGCUCUGAUAGUGAAACUCUUCUUCUCCUUCACAGUGGAUGUAGGCUCACCUUGUGGCCGAACCACUAUAAAUCACUGGUGUCAAGUGUGUGUACUUUCUUUUCUGUUUUCUUUGAGUUGCUUGAGUGAAUUACCACUUAUUCAUUAGCCAAUAAAACUAAGUAAAUUCUGAAAUCUUGAGCAAAUAAAGGUGGAUCUUGGGAGAAUUAAAUCGGUGACAAAUUGGUUAAGUUCUAACAGAUUGUUUUCUUAAGGUUUAAAAAUAAUGUUAUUUAAAAUUAAUUAUUACAAAUAUUCAUCGACUCCAUACCUAUUAAAAUUUAACAAACACUAAUAACAACUGCAAUUUAAAAGUUACAACACCUUUAUAAAAAACCAUCAGCUUCUACUCCAUAGUUAUAACUUUUACUCUAUAACAAUUGCAACUUAAAAGAUACAAUACUGCACUUCCAAACGCACCCUAAGUGGUGGCUGCUGUCGCGCUGCUGCAGGGUUUGAGGAGGCUGGGCUUUUGCUUAAACAGCAACCCAUUUCUGCAUAAGAGGCUCAGCUCAAGCUCAACUCUGGAUGCUGGAUCUUUACAAAAGUAAACUGGAACAGAUCCAGUUGAGAUCAAACAUAAAUUAUAGGGAAUCAAAUGAGAUUUUGAGGAAAAGCAAAAUAAAAUAUAAAGAAUGAUUCCAGCUUGCCCACUUGGGAGGCACCAACUGUAUAUUUGUAUGCGCAUAUAUAUUUAACUAUCAAACUAUACGUCAAUAUAGUUAAAAUUUAUGGGCCUUUUUUUUUUUUUUUGGUAAGAAAUUUAUUGGCUUUUGUUGGAAAUGGUCAGCGAAAAAGAAACGCGUGGGAUAGGAUAGAAGUUUGAAUAAAUGAUGAGGUUGUAAAUAAUGUCUUUAGGACAGAAAUUUGAUAUUAAAAUUGGAAUUAUGGAACCUUCCCCAUGACACGAACAAUGAAUAACAAAGAUUCCGUUCAUAUUUUUAUUCUCUCCAUAAAUUAAAAAAAAAUUAAUAAGUUAAAUAAUAUCUUUCAAGUUCCAACUUUCAGAAGUUGCGUUACACUUUAAAAGUUCAAAUAUACACGCAGCCCACAUAAUUCAUUAUUUUUAUUAAAUUUUUUUUAUAAAUAGUACUAAAAUUAAUAUUAUCAAUGAAAAAUUUCUAACAGAUUAAUAAUAUGAAGAUAAUUGUAUUUAAUAUUUAAAAUAAUUCGUAAAAAUGCAUAUUUUUUUCGUUUAUCAUGGCCCAAUUAUUGGAAAAGUCAUCACUCCACCCCCACGUCAUUAGCUUUUUGUUUUUUUUCCUUUAAGGUCAAACCAUAGUUGACCGAUGAAUGUACUCCUAAUAUUAUCAACUAUUUGUAAAAAGACAAAAAUAACCUUAGAUUUGCAAAUAAUUUAAUGCAAACAAUUUUGUAUUUUUUUUUAAAGGCCUUUUCUCUCUUUGCUGUUCCCCUCUCCAUCUCUGAACAAGGUCGAAGCUUGAAGAAAUUGAUUGAUAAAAAGAGCGAGUUUUCAAAGCUGUUGAAGGAUCACUGCCGUUUACAAUUUUGGUUAUGUUAACACACUGACCCACAGGCAUUGUCCUCUAAUUCGUCUUCCUCAGAGGCUGAAAUGGCGAUUCGAGUGCAAUGAAAACCCCCAAGUUGCAAUGGCGAAGUGACGAAGCUCUCUCUAGGCAUAACAUUUUAACAAAACUGGGCAAAUCAAGAAAGGUUAAUUAUUGUGACGAGAAGAAAGACUUUCUAAUUUAUUAAGUGCCCGUUUGCUGCUGUGAUGGUGGUGAUUUGCCAAUGUCUUCCCUCUCGCCUCUCUGCAUUUUCCUUUUUUCAUCAAAGGAAAUUCAUGGAAUAAAGCGUAUAGUUUGUUUCAACUGUAUUUUUUCAUAGAAACAAAUCUUAAUAGAAAUAAUGUAUAAAUCUUUUGAUCCUACAAAAUUCAGAGCCUACGUGUGCAUCACAAAUUUGUUCACUUCCGUAUAUUUAUCUAUUUGACUGUAAGAAGAAAAAGGGAAGAAGGUAGUUUCGUAAAAUUCCGUAUAUGACUAUUAUUGUUCUUAUACACUCCCACAAAACUGCAAUAACAAAAUUUACAAAGAUAUACAGAAAACGAUGAAUAACAACACAGUUUACGUACCAGAAUACCUUGCGUCUUACGGUUACAACAUGAGCCAGAGAUCUAGAAGACAAUGCUCGCAGUUGGGUUCCGCAUUUCAUCAUUGAACGAAAU